Molecule: non-coding RNA, 544 nt
Organism: Schizosaccharomyces pombe (fission yeast)
Lineage: Eukaryota; Fungi; Ascomycota; Schizosaccharomycetes; Schizosaccharomycetales; Schizosaccharomycetaceae
Source: the annotation of a GenBank genome assembly
CAAGUUCAGCAUUACUAGAAAACAGAAUUAGAAAGUACAUCUCAAAUGGCACCGUACGCGGUAAACAUCAGAAAAGAAGCACUCAAAUUGGAGCUUUGAGGUUCAUUAAGAAUCACAUAUACAUUGUUGGGUUCAUUUACAGAGAAUCCAUUCAACCAGGUAAAUACAAUUGGUAGUAUGGAAAGUAAAAGUUCGUAAAACAUAAUGAAGCUUAAACACGAGCAGAACUUUCCCUGUUAUGAGAAGUAACUAGUUCAACUAACGUAUGACUCCAAAAGUAACGCAUAGAAAGUGGAUUUGAAGGAAUUUAACUGAAAUUGCCUAAGACAAUGGUUAAGGGCAAAUGUUAAUACCCUGCUAGAGAUUUGACCUUAGAAAAGAGAGCUCUUUGAGUAUAAAUAUUUAUUUUUAGCAAAUCAAUUUUUGUAUACAAUGUUUGAUGGGUAGAUCACUGAAAGAAUCUGCUAACGAGCAUAAUCUUAUAAAUGACAUUUGCAUAAGCGUACUGAUAGUCGCUAUGUCGAGCUGUUAUUACUGUUGGAAU